AGACUAAAUAUCCUAUGACAAUUAUGUUGCAUAUCGAGGCUGAGAAAAGAGCACAACACUGCAGACAACAGCUGUUCCUGUACAUUGUUGCAGUACUGUACCAGACAGCACAUUACUCUCAGCUUGGCAUCAGUGCAGUUCCUCCAGUGCACAGCUGUACUGAAACUAAACAGAGAUGGCACAAACCCCGAACAAGGUGCCGUAAGUGUGAAUGAAUUUUUCAAGAAUUUUAAGAAUAAAUUAUAUGAAAUGCUUGCUUUCCUAACAUCAUUUCAUGUGGCAAAUAACAUUGUUUUAAAUUCAAUUCAUUGCUCUUUAAUAUAACUAAAACUUGUGUGUCAGAUUAGUGAGAUGUCCAAGACAUGCAUUGUUGGUGGACCUCCAGUAACAGGUAUGGCAAACACUGGUUCAUAAUAAAGUGACCAUUGGUAUUUCAUUUUUUACAAAAAUGCAUGAAUUCGCUACAGGAGGCCUUUAAUCACCCCCCGGAGCCGUGUGAUGGACGUUUUAUUAUGGAUGCGCGCACUUUAUUUCUCGUCUUCUGAACUGUUUACAAUCCCAUUGAAAGGCUUGGAGGCCCAGGACCAUUUUUAUGCGUCCUAUAUAACAACAGGUUUAAUGCAUCUAAGCUGGCCAAGCCUGUUGUGAUUGGCACAAAGAGGAGCACUUGAUCAGAAGCCAACGAAGAUAAAAGGCAAGAUUAGAGAAGCAGUCCUCGGAGUACCUUGUAAAAAGGUGUUACCAGCGACCUGCAUGUGCCAGAGGUGUAUAAGGACUUUGACAGCACUGUCCCUUUAUUGACCACAAUGGCGAUGUCCAGUGAUGAUUCGUUGGUGGAUUCUGCUUUUGGUAAAGUUCAGGCUGGGAGUGUUCUGUCAUACCAACAGCCAGCAGCAACAACACGUAACAUUACUCCACAUCAAGAUGUCCCACCACAACCACCUCUGCCACUAGAUGGUUACAACCUUGACCCAUCUGUGUGCUUAUAGUACAUAGUAAACAUGAAAUACUACACAUGAAGUCACUUGCUGUAACUCUGGUAACACCACACACGAUUAAGCAUGCCACCAAAGACCAGAGUGCAUCGAUAGAUUAGCACUCCAUUAGAAAGCAACAAGUAACAUCAUCCUGAUUUAAACAUGUUUGCCAUAAAUGGGGCAGAGCUCUGCUAAACACUUUGCUGAAAGUAUCUACUAAUAGUACUCACCAGACAGCACUUGAACUGGAAUCUGCAGUGGUGGAGGAAUGCUGUCUACUCCAUGGAGCAUUUUAUGUGCCCAAAUGUAAAAUGUUAUGUUGACUGCCCUUAAAGGGAUACUCCGUCCCAAAAUGAAAAUUUUGUCAUUAUUCACUUUACCCCAUGUCGUUCCAAAC
This is a long non-coding RNA of Cyprinus carpio carpio, 1374 nucleotides long. NCBI's taxonomy places the organism in Eukaryota, Metazoa, Chordata, Actinopteri, Cypriniformes, Cyprinidae. The record is from Ensembl.